RNA transcript from Gossypium raimondii (Peruvian cotton), 1894 nucleotides. It is a transcript of the gene named mitochondrial uncoupling protein 5, with no coding region annotated. The record is from RefSeq and is a predicted model, not a curated record. The transcript has 3 exons. Lineage: Eukaryota; Viridiplantae; Streptophyta; Magnoliopsida; Malvales; Malvaceae.
AUUGGCAUUGGGUGAAUCCCCCACGCGACCAAGCUCGUGCGCUGCUAUAAAUACUCAUUCCCUCAUAUGGCAAAUAAAUCAUCCAUACAUUUGCUUUGCUAUAUUUACCAAAAAAAGAAGCUUGUAAAUCUCCCCAGCAUAUGUCUCAAAGGCCUACCGUUCCUCACUCUUGUUCAUUAGCAUUUGAUCUUCAUUCCCAUUUCCUGGUUUCUAGUGAUAUGAACCCUAAUUCCAUUUGGAGUCUUUAGUUAUAUUUCAGACCUUUUUUUUUUUUUCUUGAUCAAUUUUGUUCAUUCUUUGAAAGUUUUUAGAUUUUUGUUUUUGAGAGAAUUUUUAAAAAAAAUGGGAGGAGUCAAAAGUUUCAUUGAAGGAGGCAUUGCAUCAAUUGUCGCUGGUUGUUCAACCCACCCACUGGAUUUAAUCAAAGUUCGAAUGCAGCUUCAAGGUGAAGCCCAGGGCCCUAACGCGGCUGCUCAAAAUCUCCGCCCUUCUUUAGCUUUCCAGACCAACAGCACCCCCUCCUCUACUGUACGCCUCAGACAAGCCACGGCGGCGCGUAUUGGACCUCUGGCUACUGGGAUUCGGAUCUUUAAAACCGAAGGCUUCAGAGCUCUUUUCUCAGGUGUUUCCGCCACCGUACUCCGCCAGACCCUUUAUUCCACCACCCGGAUGGGAAUCUAUGACAUCCUGAAGCAUAAAUGGACCGAUAAGGAAACGAAUACCAUGCCUCUCGCCAGCAAAAUCCUCGCUGGGUUAAUAGCCGGGGGUAUCGGCGCUGCCGUCGGGAACCCAGCCGAUGUUGCAAUGGUUCGUAUGCAAGCUGACGGACGCCUCCCUUUAUCUCAACGCCGUAACUACACCAGCGUCGUUGACGCCCUCGCUCGCAUGACCAAACAAGAAGGCAUUACUUCCUUGUGGCGUGGCUCAUCGAUGACGGUGAACCGAGCCAUGCUGGUGACGGCGUCGCAGUUGGCUUCCUACGAUCAAAUCAAAGAAACGAUUUUGGCAAAAGGGUGGAUGAAAGAUGGGCUCUGUACACACGUGGUGGCGAGUUUCUCGGCUGGAUUUGUGGCGGCGGUGGUAUCGAAUCCCGUUGACGUAAUCAAGACAAGGGUAAUGAACAUGAAGGUGGUGCCUGGUCAAAGGCCACCGUAUACCGGAGCUUUGGAUUGUGCUAUGAAAACAGUGAAGGCGGAAGGGCCGAUGGCUUUGUAUAAAGGGUUUAUACCUACCAUCUCCAGACAAGGGCCGUUCACGGUGGUGCUUUUCGUUACGUUGGAACAGGUGGCCCGUAUUGUUUAGUGGAAUUUGGCGUAUGCGAACCAACCAUUUCGAUGCAUAGUGUGGGCGUGCAGUUUAUGUUAUCCCCUAUAAGAUGAGAUGGAACAACACAUACCAACAAAGUUUGAGAAAGGAAGUGGUGAGCUAAAGGUCAUCUUGUUAGCAGCACAAUGAGGCAAAAUGGUUCCUAAUUCAGAAGGCCCUACAAGCUGGUUAAAAAGAUUGGCUUUGGUGCAUAUUGGCUUGCCUAGAUGGACAACUGAUACAUAGAAUGUGGAAUGCUCGACACUUAUGAAAAUAUUUUGUAUGAAUUCUAACCCUCAAGUACUAGAAACUUUUAUGUGUUUAAGUAAAUGAUAUGAUAUCAUAAUUAUCGGUCAAAGACUUUCACCUUUGAUAUAUGUUCUACCUAGCCUUCAAGUUACCUCACCUUUCAGGCAAUAUAGAUUUCCAAGUAGUAUAACCUUGUUACCUCACCUUCCAAGCAUCAUAACAUUCUCGCCUUAUAAGUAAUGUAGACAACAUAAGUCAAACUGCGUAUGAAUUUUGAAUUAUGAUGCCAAAUUGGUAUUGUCAACACAAUAAUUGUGAAAAUGGUACUUUACAACACAUC